UAUUUAUUUAUUUAUUUUUUUUCUUUUUUUUCUCUUUUUCUUUUUUAAACUCCCCCUCUCCCCUCCUCCUCACUCCUGCCCCCACCCUACAACUUCUUCCCCUCACACCGCCUUUCCCCGGGAAGCCAAGAUGGCCGCCGGUGCCGACGCCCCGGCCAGGCCAGGCCUAGGCCUCGAGCGCUCCCCCUUCCGGCUCCGAGCGGGCGGGGCGAAAGAGCAUGCGCAGUGAGGAGCGCCGCCGGCUGCCGCUCCCAUUCCGAAGGUGCCAGUAUGAAGAUGACUCAACGGAAGUAAGGAUUCCAGGGCAGUGUCAGAUCUGAAAAAGCAAUUCCAGUACCAGUUCCUUGUCUCACAGUGGCUUGGCAACUUCACCUCUCUCAAAGUAGAGAAGAAAAUCAAGUCAAACAGGCCUUCCUGAAACAUGGCGUGAAACACCACAUGUCACCUUUGUUCCUGGAGGAGACACUAAACAAGUACUUGUUGAGGUAAACUAUUACAUAUUCUCCCCAUUUCUCACCUAAGCAGUUGGAAGUUAACUAUCUUCUUGAAGACAUGAAAAG
This 560-nucleotide long non-coding RNA is filed under the name Bos mutus (wild yak). Its description in RNAcentral is "lncRNA (ENSBMUG00000004588.1)". The record is from RNAcentral. Lineage: Eukaryota; Metazoa; Chordata; Mammalia; Artiodactyla; Bovidae.